RNAcentral lists this ribosomal RNA (528 nucleotides) under uncultured bacterium. Its description in RNAcentral is "bacterial SSU rRNA". It matches the Rfam family "Bacterial small subunit ribosomal RNA", at positions 8 to 533 of the family's 1533-position model. The record is from RNAcentral.
AGAGUUUGAUCCUGGCUCAGGAUGAACGCUGGCGGCGUGCCUAAUACAUGCAAGUCGAACGCGAGCAGCAAUGCUCGAGUGGCGAACGGGUGAGUAAUACAUAAGUAACCUGCCCUAGACAGGGGGAUAACUGCUGGAAACGGCAGCUAAGACCGCAUAGGUAUGGACACUGCAUGGUGACCAUAUUAAAAGUGCCAAGGCACUGGUAGAGGAUGGACUUAUGGCGCAUUAGCUGGUUGGUGAGGUAACGGCUCACCAAGGCGACGAUGCGUAGCCGACCUGAGAGGGUGACCGGCCACACUGGGACUGAGACACGGCCCAGACUCCUACGGGAGGCAGCAGUAGGGAAUUUUCGGCAAUGGGGGGAACCCUGACCGAGCAACGCCGCGUGAAGGAAGAAGGAAUUCGUUCUGUAAACUUCUGUUAUAAAGGAAGAACGGCGGAUAUAGGGAAUGAUAUCCGAGUGGCGGUACUUUAUGAGAAAGCCACGGCUAACUACGUGCCAGCAGCCGCGGUAAGACCUAGCUU